RNAcentral lists this ribosomal RNA (485 nucleotides) under uncultured bacterium. Its description in RNAcentral is "partial 16S ribosomal RNA". It matches the Rfam family "Bacterial small subunit ribosomal RNA", at positions 28 to 507 of the family's 1533-position model. The record is from RNAcentral.
GAUGAACGCUAGCGGCAGGCCUAAUACAUGCAAGCCAAGGGCUGUUUGGUUUAUCGCUACGUCAAACAACCGGCGGACGGGGGCUUAACGCGGAUGCAACCUCCCCUAUACAGGAGGUUAGCCCUCGGAAACGAGGAUUAAUACUCCAUAAGAUUGCUUAGAGGCAUCUUUAAGCAAUUAAAUCUGCGUGGCGGUAUAGGAUGGGCGUGCGUCCGAUGUGCUAGGGGUUGAGGUAACGGCUCACCAGUGCGAUGAUCGGGAGGGGUUCUGAGGGGAAGAUCCACCAAAGGGGGACUGCGACACGGGCCCGACUACUACGGGAGGAAGCAGUAAGGAAGAAUGGACAAUGGGUGAAAGCCUGAUGCAGCCAGGCCGCGUGCAGGAAGAAGGCCCUAUGGGUUGUAAACUGCUGUUGAGAGGGAGAAAUACGAGGGACGAGUCGCUCGAUGAUAGUACUUAGCGAAGAAGCACCGGCUAACUACGUG